This 386-nucleotide long non-coding RNA is filed under the name Pongo abelii (Sumatran orangutan). RNAcentral describes it as "lincRNA". The record is from RNAcentral. Lineage: Eukaryota; Metazoa; Chordata; Mammalia; Primates; Hominidae.
GCUGGCAUCUUGAUCAUGGACUCCUGGGCUCCAGAACUGUAAGAAAAUACAUUUGUGUUGUGGAAGCCACCCAGCCCAUGGUAUUUCGUUAUGGCAGCCUGAGCAGAGGUGGUAGCUAUGUGGACUGUUUUUGGACUUCUCUAUUUGCCACAUUAUAGGAAUAUAUUAUGCUGCUUUGUCACAUGCUGUAAGAAAAGUAACUGCUAUGGCGUUGAGAAGGUACGAGAAAGAUAAGAAAACAGAAGCAAAGGCAGAAAGAUGCUACAUUGCCAGCUUUGAAGAUGGAGGGAAGAGGCCACAAACCAAGGAAGCAAGACGGCCCUCACCAGAUGUCAGCACCUCCUAUGAUAUUGGACUUUCCAGCCUCCAGAUUCAUGAGAAAUAAA